RNAcentral lists this ribosomal RNA (232 nucleotides) under uncultured bacterium. RNAcentral's name for it is "partial 16S ribosomal RNA". It matches the Rfam family "Bacterial small subunit ribosomal RNA", at positions 118 to 351 of the family's 1533-position model. The record is from RNAcentral.
UGAGUAACCUGCCCUUAACUCUGGGAUGAGCCUGGGAAACUGGGUCUAAUACCGGAUAUGACUCCUCAUCGCAUGGUGGGGGUGGAAAGCUUUUUGUGGUUUUGGAUGGACUCGCGGCCUAUCAGCUUGUUGGUGAGGUAAUGGCUUACCAAGGCGACGACGGGUAGCCGGCCUGAGAGGGUGACCGGCCACACUGGGACUGAGACACGGCCCAGACUCCUACGGGAGGCAG